Molecule: ribosomal RNA, 492 nt
Filed under: uncultured bacterium
Lineage: Bacteria
Description: partial 16S ribosomal RNA
Rfam family: Bacterial small subunit ribosomal RNA
Source: RNAcentral
AGUGAACGCUGGCGGUAGGCCUAACACAUGCAAGUCGAACGGCAGCACAGUAGGAGCUUGCUCUUACGGGUGGCGAGUGGCGGACGGGUGAGGAAUACAUCGGAAUCUACUUUUUCGUGGGGGAUAACGUAGGGAAACUUACGCUAAUACCGCAUACGACCUACGGGUGAAAGCAGGGGAUCUUCGGACCUUGCGCGAUUGAAUGAGCCGAUGUCGGAUUAGCUAGUUGGCGGGGUAAAGGCCCUCCAAGGCGACGAUCCGUAGCUGGUCUGAGAGGAUGAUCAGCCACACUGGAACUGAGACACGGUCCAGACUCCUACGGGAGGCAGCAGUGGGGAAUAUUGGACAAUGGGCGCAAGCCUGAUCCAGCCAUACCGCGUGGGUGAAGAAGGCCUUCGGGUUGUAAAGCCCUUUUGUUGGGAAAGAAAAGCAGCAGGUUAAUACCCCGCUGUUCUGACGGUACCCAAAGAAUAAGCACCGGCUAACUUCGUG